Molecule: transfer RNA, 72 nt
Filed under: Neotoma lepida (desert woodrat)
Lineage: Eukaryota; Metazoa; Chordata; Mammalia; Rodentia; Cricetidae
Rfam family: tRNA
About the family: Transfer RNA (tRNA) molecules are approximately 80 nucleotides in length.
Source: Rfam by way of RNAcentral
GGGGGUGGGGCUCAGUGGUAGAGCACUUGUCUAGCGUGUAGCAGGCCCUGGGUUCCAUUCCCAGCACUGCAA